This 460-nucleotide ribosomal RNA is filed under the name uncultured bacterium. RNAcentral's name for it is "partial 16S ribosomal RNA". It matches the Rfam family "Bacterial small subunit ribosomal RNA", at positions 338 to 795 of the family's 1533-position model. The record is from RNAcentral.
CCUACGGGUGGCAGCAGUGAGGAAUAUUGGUCAAUGGACUUACGCCUGAACCAGCCAAGUCGCGUGAGGGAAGACUGCCCUAUGGGUUGUAAACCUCUUUUGUCAGGGAGCAACGCCGGCUACGUGUAGCCGGACUGAGAGUACCUGAAGAAAAAGCAUCGGCUAACUCCGUGCCAGCAGCCGCGGUAAUACGGAGGAUGCGAGCGUUAUCCGGAUUUAUUGGGUUUAAAGGGUGCGUAGGCGGAAUGCCAAGUCAGCGGUAAAAUCGCGGGGCUCAACCUCGCUCCGCCGUUGAAACUGGCGGUCUUGAGUGGGCGAGAAGUAUGCGGAAGGCGUGGUGUAGCGGUGAAAUGCAUAGAGAUCACGCAGAACUCCGAUUGCGAAGGCAGCAUACCGGCGCCCAACUGACGCUGAAGCACGAAAGCGUGGGUAUCGAACAGGAUUAGAUACCCUAGUAGUC